RNAcentral lists this transfer RNA (69 nucleotides) under Agrotis segetum (turnip moth). RNAcentral's name for it is "tRNA-Leu". The record is from RNAcentral. Lineage: Eukaryota; Metazoa; Arthropoda; Insecta; Lepidoptera; Noctuidae.
ACUAUUUUGGCAAAAAAAUGUAAUGAUUUUAGAAUUCAUUAAUAUAUAAUUUAAAUUAUAUAGAUAGUA